GAAUUUUUAAUGAUUAGAAAGAUUUGAUCAGUUAUCUUAGGAAAUAUAAAGAACAUGUCAAUAAGCAUUGAAGACUUAAAUCAGAUUAUGAAACUAUUUUUUAAAAGCCCUGACUCUCAUAUUUCUAUUUUAGGCAUCUGAAUAAAUGAUAAUAUUCAUUGUUUGGAGAUCAUAAAUGGAGCACAUUUAUGAGAAAAGUGGAGUCUUCAGCCAUGAAAAGUGUGAAAGCACGGUCAGGAUUACAGAUUUUGGCAGAAUGCAAAAGAGAGAGGAGGCAAUCCAAAUGUUAAUUUCCUUGUACACGAGAAAAAUAAAGUGUCCUAAGAAAUGACCUGUCCUUGGCCUUCCAAGAUCUUGCUUCCAGAAUAUCAACCUGUCAGGACUGGAAAGAAGCAAAAGCAGGUGAGACCAUCCGAG
This is a long non-coding RNA of Chlorocebus sabaeus (green monkey), 417 nucleotides long. RefSeq lists it as uncharacterized. NCBI's taxonomy places the organism in Eukaryota, Metazoa, Chordata, Mammalia, Primates, Cercopithecidae. The record is from RefSeq and is a predicted model, not a curated record.